Molecule: transfer RNA, 74 nt
Filed under: Bacteroidales bacterium
Lineage: Bacteria; Pseudomonadati; Bacteroidota; Bacteroidia; Bacteroidales
Also listed under: 2 other names
Description: tRNA-Met
Rfam family: tRNA
About the family: Transfer RNA (tRNA) molecules are approximately 80 nucleotides in length. Their secondary structure includes four short double-helical elements and three loops (D, anti-codon, and T loops).
Source: RNAcentral
GGCGGGAUAGCUCAGCUGGUUAGAGCGCAUGAUUCAUAAUCAUGAGGUCGAGGGAUCAUGCCCCCCUCCCGCUA